ACGGAAGGCAGCAGUGGGGAAUAUUGCACAAUGGGCGAAAGCCUGAUGCAGCGACGCCGCGUGAGUGAAGAAGUAUUUCGGUAUGUAAAGCUCUAUCAGCAGGGAAGAAAAUGACGGUACCUGACUAAGAAGCCCCGGCUAACUACGUGCCAGCAGCCGCGGUAAUACGUAGGGGGCAAGCGUUAUCCGGAUUUACUGGGUGUAAAGGGAGUGUAGGUGGCAAGACAAGUCAGAAGUGAAAAUCCGGGGCUCAACCCCGGAACUGCUUUUGAAACUGUCUAGCUAGAGUGCAGGAGAGGUAAGUGGAAUUCCUAGUGUAGCGGUGAAAUGCGUAGAUAUUAGGAGGAACACCAGUGGCGAAGGCGGCUUACUGGACUGUAACUGACACUGAGGCUCGAAAGCGUGGGGAGCAAACAGGAUUAGAUACCCUGGUA
Molecule: ribosomal RNA, 434 nt
Filed under: uncultured Clostridium sp.
Lineage: Bacteria; Bacillati; Bacillota; Clostridia; Eubacteriales; Clostridiaceae
Description: partial 16S ribosomal RNA
Rfam family: Bacterial small subunit ribosomal RNA
Source: RNAcentral